Long non-coding RNA from Oryzias melastigma (Indian medaka), 1742 nucleotides. RefSeq lists it as uncharacterized. The record is from RefSeq and is a predicted model, not a curated record. The transcript is spliced from 5 exons. Lineage: Eukaryota; Metazoa; Chordata; Actinopteri; Beloniformes; Adrianichthyidae.
UGCACCCGCGACCCAGUCCCGGAUGAGCGGAUGAAGAUGAAUGGAUGGAUGGGUGGUCCUCUUUUCAUUUCUUAUUUUUCAUUUUUCGCUCCUUGUGUUAAAGUUGGACAGUGAGCCGUCAAAUUCAGUCACAGAGACACAGAAACACAGUGGAAGUGGCUGUCAUAGAAAACACAGCUCCCAGAGUGGGAUAGAAGCCCCCGGUACCAGAAAAUCUCAGAAUGAUCACAUAAAUCCAAACACGAAGGCCUCUUCACAAUAAAAGAACCUGAUCUCUCAACAUCGUUUCGUCCAUGUUUUCCAUACACUGUAGGUGAGAUAUACACAGGCACUGCUCCAUGUAGCGAUCAGGCUAAAUUUUCAUGCGUAUCGUAUUUGGUGUUAAUACAGUAUUACUAUGUAGUCCCAAGGAGGCCCAAGUCCGAAUCUCCCUGUGUCGGACGUCAACUUAUUGGUGCAAUUGACACUAAAAUGAGAAUAAAUGUCACAGUUUUGAACUAAAGACUUCAAAAUGUUCAAUUUUUAAUCAAAAUGAAAGUAUUUUUCAUUCAAAUUCCAUGUUUUUUAUUUCUCUUAUAAGGGAAAUGGCCAAUGCACUCCAUGCAUCUGCUCAUUUUUUGGCCCUUUUGGCAAAUUUUAGGACCCUACAAGUCAUAAAGUUGGCCCAUCCUAGCUUUAGAUUCCCAGCUUUUGUCUUGAUUUGAUGUAUUUCAACUCUUUUGGUAAAUCUGAUUUAAACCUGCUGUUCAUUUCUUAGUGAAGAUGUUGAGUUAAAAUAACUCAGAUCACGUGAAACACUUUGUCUCCCAAAUAAAACUUAGAGUUUUUUUUCCCUAGCUGGAUCUGACUUGUGUGAAACUCAUGAAUGUCACAGUUUUCAGAGCAAAUUCAGGAAGUAGCAUGAAACACCAGCAAAGUGUAGGAUUUGACUCCCACCUCCGCUCCCUCACACAUCACAGCGAUGGAGAAAUCACUCUGCAAACUUUGUCACACAUGUACAGGUUUGUGCUCAUAUAUAUAUAUACCAAAAAAAAAAACUUUUUUCUCUUCACACUUUCAGCUGAAACGCUUUUUAACAGGCCUGUUAACAUCACCCGGGGUUACCAUGGCAGCCACAUAAUGAGUGACAACGGGAGCGCGCUAUUUCAGGCUGGAUAUGCUCGGGAUUAAUGCGGGUCUAUUUGAGGUCAAGAUUAACUUCUGACUCUGAAAUUCCUAAUCGGCACAGUGAGGCUACAUCACCUUCUUCUCUCCAGUGAGGAGAAAAAAGGCGCCCUUCGGUGGGAGUUUGUUUUCACUGCCAAACAUGAAAUAUAGAAGAAGGUUAAAAGAAAAGAGAAGGAAGGGAAAAAAGAGGGGCAGUUUGGGCUUCUGGUGCCACAGUAGAUUCACCUGUUUGAUCAAGCUUACACAAAGGAGGGCGGAGCCUCAGUCUUGUGUGGAAAAAAAUCUCCUGAGAUAAUCUCCAUGGGUACCAGCUGAGCCAUUCUGGCUGAAGUCAUCUCCCUCCACAAUUGUUUUGCUGCACAUUAGAAGCUCCUUCCACCGUUUGUUUGUGAACUGCUGACAUUUGGAGACUGCCGGUCCGGCGAAACUGUCAAAAACAGGACAGCAGCGGCGUCCGAAGUUUAAAAUAGACUCCGCCUGACAACAACCGCGGCUAAUCAUCCGCGUCCCGAAAAGGCAAUGAGGUUUUCAUGCUUUUAAGCCAUAAUAAAGUCAAAUUAAAACAGCCUCCGCGC